RNAcentral lists this long non-coding RNA (1422 nucleotides) under Cyanistes caeruleus (blue tit). Its description in RNAcentral is "lncRNA (ENSCCEG00000021886.1)". Lineage: Eukaryota; Metazoa; Chordata; Aves; Passeriformes; Paridae. The record is from RNAcentral.
AUGACCUGGGGAUUUCAGAGUUUCAGUGGGAAAACAUCCUCAAAUCCUCAAUUUUCCCCUCACACCCUCAGCUUUUCCUCAAAUCCUCAGUUUUUCCUCAAAUCCUCAAUUUUACCCUCACACCCUCAGCUUUUCCUCAAGUCCUCAGCUUCUCCUGAAAUUCUCAAUUUUCCUUCUCAUCCUCAAUCAGAUUUUCCCCAGUUUUUCCUCACAUCCUCAGCUUUUCCUAAAAUCCUCAGUUUUUCUCACAUCCUCAGUCAGUUUUCCCUUAAAUUUUCCCUCAAACCCUCGGUUUUUCCUCAAUUUUUCCCUCACAUUCUCAAUUUUAUCUCAAUUUUUCCUCAGUUUUUCCUCAGUUUUCCCCUCACACCCUCAGUUUUCCCUCACACCCUUGAUUUUUCCUCAGUUUUCCCUCAAUUUUUCCUCAGUUUUUCCUCAGUUUUUCCCUCACACCCUCAUUUUUUCCUCAGUUUUCCCCUCACACCCUCAGUUUUCCCUCACACCCUUGAUUUUUCCUCAGUUUUUCCCUCACACCCUCAGUUUUCCCUCAAUUUUUCCUCAGUUUUCCCCUCACACCCCCUCAGUUUUCUCCCCAGUUUUUCUUUCACGCUCUCAGUUUUUCCUCAGCUUUUCCUCACACCCCCGUUUUUCCUCAAAUCCCUUUUCCCUCACAUCCUCACCUUUGGAAAUCCUGCUUUUCCUCAGCUUUUUCCCACUUUUCCCUCAGUUUUUCCUCAGCUUUUCCUUCGGGCCGAGCCCAACCCAGGCCAGGCCUGAGGCCUGCCCAGCCGAGCUCAAAUCUCUCUAUUUUUAGCGCCGAUAACACCAAAAAAUGCGGUUUUUCUUCAGAAUCUCGGUGUGAAGUUGCUCCCACACACUCACCAGCUUCCUCCACCCACUCUUUUGUCUGCAAAUUGUGCUUUUAUUUCUUCAGAGUUGGAGCUUUUCAUGUCGGAGACCUCGCAAACCUUUGGUUCUGUAGAUAUUCCCCAGGUUUGGGGUUUGAUAAGCAUCAAAAAUCGAUUUGAAACUUUUGUUUCCUUUUUACAUCUUAAUCAACGCUUUCAUCUCUCCUUUGGCGGCGUGACCGGGGAUUUGUUCUGUGGAAAAAUCAGCCUUGAUUAAAUUAAAUUCACCUUUAAAACAACAAAAAACGCUUGGGUGUUUUGGGAUUAAAAACACCCAAACGCUGCUUUGGGAUUAGAAAUUUAAAAGCAGGGCGGGGAAAGUGUUUUAAGAGCGUUUUUUGGGCAGUAUUUCACAGCUGUUGUUUGGACUAAAUGACCGAGGAAGGUUUUGUUUUUUAUUUAAAUAAUGUUUUGGAAAGUUGUGGGUCCCUCGAGGGAGGCAGUGAAAGGUUUGGAGCAAACAGCUUUGAUAAUUCAGAAUAAACCCCACUGUGGCCUCGGUUUGAGGUGGUAC